AAGUUCGAUUGGUGCACUGCACAUGGCUCAUCAUGGCGUAAACUUAAGAUAUCAGAAUUAAAUGUUAUCGUCGGAAAGUAAUCAUUUUAUGCUGGUUAAUAUUAAAGAGAAAAGAUAGAAAUAAAGAAUUUAUUUAUAACGCUUAAAUUUAUUAAACGAAACAAUUGGAGAAAGUAGAUUGAAUCAAACCAAUGUAGACAGUUAAAGUUUGAGAUGUGAUUGUUUCGCCAUGGUUGACAGCGGAGGUGUGACGAUUUAAAGGGCCAUCUUUCAAAUUCAUUUUUUUUAUAAAUUGGUAUUAAACUGUAUUGUUAAUAGAGUGCUCUUGUUCGUGCCUUUUACAGUCUUAGUAAAAUUUUAAUUCGGAUUACUUUCAUCUUCCUACGUCACUUUGUUCAAUUUUUUAGGAAUAACAAUUCUACGUAGAUCCAAAAAGGUUAUACAAGCAUUUGUUAUUAUUAGUCUUCGGUACAAUUGAAUCGUCAAGUAUUAUUAAUGCAAAGUAAUGUGCUGAAAUCACGUAUCAAAUAUUAGAAUAGAAAUGCCGUUGAGUCCAGUGAAUCAUAAUAUAUCUAUGGAUGCUACAGAAAGUGCUGGUACAUCUGUUCAUGUAACCACUACUUCCUGUACUCCACCUCCAUCAUAUAACAUUAAUUUACCUCUUGAACAUCCUUGUACGUUACCCAACGAAUGUGGUGCACCACCUUCUUAUCAGGAAGCCAUAAAUAACUAUGCGCCUCCUCCUCCUUCGUAUGAUUCUUUGUUUGGUCGAAUAAGAGAGGUGCAAAAAGUCUCCAAGGGUGUAUUUGAUUUCAUAAAAAAUAUUAUUAUUCUACUUGUCUGUACAAUCGGAUUCACUAUUAUAUUCGUUAUGACAAUUGUAGUUCCAAUAUGCAUGAUUAUCAUUGGAGGAAUGUAUCUAUAUAAGUGUCCACAGGGUGAAUACAUACCUGUUUAUUUAUUAGUAGGUGGAAUAAUCGGCGUAUUUAAACAAAUAUUACAUUUAUCUGCAUAUGUGAGACGACGAGAAGAAAGAGAUGAAGAAAGGAUUAGGCAAUCAACAACGCAAACAGUAAUUAAUUGCUUCAUGCUGGCCUGGCUUAUAAUUGGUACUACGUGGGUGUACCAGGCAUACGAACCAAAUUAUGACUCAUCCAAGACGAUAUAUUGCAACAAAACUUUAUAUUUAUUUGCCUUUUGGUUGAUAAACUCUAUUUAUAUAUGUUUUGGUAUUUAUAUAGCAGGUUAUUGCAGUUUUUCAGUAGCUAGUAUUGCGUUUCAAAGGCCACUACCUAAUUUCAUGUAAAAGACAAUUUGAAUCAUUUGAAAUUAGAAAAAAGAACCAUUGUUAAAUAUUUCGGCAUUUUGGGAGCAAAAAAUGAGAAUGUAUGCAAAAAGGCAUUCAUUGGCAGGAGUCACUCGAUAUUGGGGCACAAAAAAUUCGUCCACGUUUAUGUACCUGAGAUACUUAAACGACAAUUUAUGCACAGAUUAUUUGCGUGUUAGAAAUACCACUAAAUACUUAUACGUCUCAUACUUAUGAAUUGAAGUGGCUGAAUGGCUUAUGUGAGAAAAGAAAAGGAAAAAGAAAAAAAGAAAGAAGAUGCUUUAAUCACUUUAGGCUGUGGAUAUUUCGUGAUAAACACGGAUCUUAAUCUUGUGCCAAGAGAAAGCAAGGUCUUAGGAGAAAACUAUUUUGUUACUGCAGUAUUGAAUACAAGAAAAAAUGUCGAAUGCAAUUCGUAUUUGUGUACGUAAAAUUGAUAUCUACGGCCUGGCGUUACGUCGCAUAUAUGGUUCGACUUUAAAAAUUCGAUCUCUUAUGUUUCGAAUACAUUUUUUUAAUUAGCAUUAAAAAUACCUUAUCAAUAACACUAUUAUAAUAUUUUUAACAACAAAUGAAAGCUGUUCUUAAACGAUCAUAAGAUAAAUUAUCAAAGAUCAUCUUCACUUAGUUAGAUGUGAAAAGAGGAUUUAUUACUUAUGGUAAAAAAGACUGCGAUAUUUUGCGUUAACUUUAUAUUAUUUUUCCCUCUCCUUCAUCCUUUUAAGCCUUUAGCAACCUCCAUUGGGCCUUCGUUGUUAUUAAUGCGGUAAGAUCUAAUCUUAUACCGCUAUCUUUAUUGUAUAAUCUCUAUAUCCUGCGCUUGAAGAUCUCAAAUUUUUUAAAAUAUUUUAUUGUGAUAUUAAAAUACCUUUUUUUUCGAUAUUUCGAGUUAUGCGACAUAAUCAUUAUAAAGGCUGUAGUUAUUCAAAACCAUACUAUUUUGAAAAUAAGUACAGUACAUCCAAUUGGUAUAAAUAUUUAGGUAUAUAGUGGAGGAACAUUAAUUUAAGAAUAAUGUAUUAUAGGCAUAAUAUAUGUUGUAACAUCUUUUCCACUUUCAUACAUUUUUAGCUACUUUGUCUUCCUAUUGAGUAAGUUAUCAAAUUAACUUUUCUACAAAUGUGUGUGUGUCUGUAAUAAUCUCAUUACUAUAUCGAUUGACUAACACGCGCUUGCAUUAUGCUGCAUCUAUAAACGUUGAGCAAGCUUGUGCUUUUCAAUAUAAAAUCAAGUAUAUUGUCGGCAUAAAAAACUUAAUGUUGGAAAAAGCUGAAUAUUAGAUUUGUAUAUAUAUAUAAAAUGUGAUUCUAACGCACGUUUAUUACGAAUGAGUAUAUUACUCGCAUUGCAUUUAUUGUUAAUUAAAUAAUACUACACAAUUAAUUAUCCUGGCAAAACACAUAUUUAAUGUAAAAGCAGUGUGUAUCUGUAAACAAAUGAUUUCCCUAUUAUAUCAUGUGCAUUAUUGUAUGCACUUACGCACAUUUCUUAUUAUAAUUUUCUAAAUAAACGGCUUACAAUUAA
RNAcentral lists this unclassified non-coding RNA (2851 nucleotides) under Polistes fuscatus (common paper wasp). RNAcentral describes it as "uncharacterized LOC122521911, transcript variant X1". Lineage: Eukaryota; Metazoa; Arthropoda; Insecta; Hymenoptera; Vespidae. The record is from RNAcentral.